RNAcentral lists this transfer RNA (76 nucleotides) under Burkholderia oklahomensis. RNAcentral's name for it is "tRNA-Met(cat)". It matches the Rfam family "tRNA". Rfam says of the family: Transfer RNA (tRNA) molecules are approximately 80 nucleotides in length. The record is from RNAcentral. Lineage: Bacteria; Pseudomonadati; Pseudomonadota; Betaproteobacteria; Burkholderiales; Burkholderiaceae. RNAcentral also lists the same sequence under 13 other names.
GGGCCUGUAGCUCAGGGGUUAGAGCAGUCGACUCAUAAUCGAUUGGUCGUGGGUUCGAAACCCACCGGGCCCACCA